This 351-nucleotide ribosomal RNA is filed under the name uncultured bacterium. RNAcentral describes it as "partial 16S ribosomal RNA". It matches the Rfam family "Bacterial small subunit ribosomal RNA", at positions 338 to 706 of the family's 1533-position model. The record is from RNAcentral.
CCUACGGGAGGCUGCAGUAGGGAAUAUUGCUCAAUGGUGGAAACCCUGAAGCAGCAACGCCGCGUGGAGGAUGAAGGUUUUCGGAUUGUAAACUCCUUUUGUUAGAGAAGAUAAUGACGGUAUCUAACGAAUAAGCACCGGCUAACUCCGGGCCAGCAGCCGGGGUAAUAUGUAGGGUGCAAGCGUUACUCGGAAUCACUGGGCGUAAAGAGGGGGUAGGCGGGAUAGCAAGUCAGAUGUGAGAUCCUAGGGCUUAAACAGAGAACUGCGUUUGAAACUGUUAUUCUAGAGUGGGAGAGAGGGAUGUGGAAUGCGUGGUGUAGGGGUGAAAUGCAUAGAGAUCAGGAAGAA